This 468-nucleotide ribosomal RNA is filed under the name uncultured bacterium. Its description in RNAcentral is "partial 16S ribosomal RNA". It matches the Rfam family "Bacterial small subunit ribosomal RNA", at positions 28 to 507 of the family's 1533-position model. The record is from RNAcentral.
GACGAACGCUGGCGGCGUGCUUAACACAUGCAAGUCGAACGGAAAGGCCCUGCUUUUGUGGGGUGCUCGAGUGGCGAACGGGUGAGUAACACGUGAGUAACCUGCCCUUGACUUUGGGAUAACUUCAGGAAACUGGGGCUAAUACCGGAUAGGAGCUCCUGCUGCAUGGUGGGGGUUGGAAAGUUUCGGCGGUUGGGGAUGGACUCGCGGCUUAUCAGCUUGUUGGUGGGGUAGUGGCUUACCAAGGCUUUGACGGGUAGCCGGCCUGAGAGGGUGACCGGCCACAUUGGGACUGGGAUACGGCCCAGACUCCUACGGGAGGCAGCAGUGGGGAAUAUUGCACAAUGGGCGGAAGCCUGAUGCAGCAACGCCGCGUGCGGGAUGACGGCCUUCGGGUUGUAAACCGCUUUCGCCUGUGACGAAGCGUGAGUGACGGUAAUGGGUAAAGAGGCACCGGCUAACUACGUG